AUGCCAGAUAUCCUGUAUACCAGAUAAUCAUAUCAUGAUUCAUAACAGUAGAUAAAUUGAAGUUAUGACAAGGUAAUCAAAUAAUUUUAUGGUAUGGGGUCACCACAACAUGAGGAACUGUAUUAAAUGUUGAGAGCCACUGCUCUAUAGAGUCUUCAUAACAAUCCUACCUGGUCUUAUUUUUCCAUGGUAUUUUUGGACUACAUAUUUCUCUGUUGUGUUGAUUUAUUGACUUUUGUUAAUUUGUAUCUGUACUCUACUUUUUGUAAAGAAUCUUGUCAAAUCCUCACUUUUUGUGCUUUAAAAAUCUGUUGUUCAUGCUUAGCUUUAAAAAUUGAUGUUCGUGGGCUGGAGAGAUGGCUCAGUGGUUAAGAGCACUGACUGCUCUCCCAGAGGUCCUGAGUUCAAUUCCCAGCAACCACAUGGUGGCUCACAACCGUCUGUAAUGGGAUCUGAUGCCCUCUUCCGGUGUGUCUGAAGUGUACUCAUAUACAUAAAAUAAAUAAAUAAAUCUUUAAAA
This 520-nucleotide long non-coding RNA is filed under the name Rattus norvegicus (Norway rat). RNAcentral describes it as "long non-coding RNA NONRATT024477". The record is from RNAcentral. Lineage: Eukaryota; Metazoa; Chordata; Mammalia; Rodentia; Muridae.